CGAACGCUGGCGGCGUGCUUUAUACAUGCAAGUCGAACGAUGAAGUUCCUUCGGGAAUGGAUUAGUGGCGAACGGGUGAGGAACACGUGAGGAAUCUGCCCAUCAUUUUGGGAUAACACCGGGAAACCGGUGCUAAUACCGAAUACUCCGUCUUGGCGGCAUCGCCGAGCCGGGAAAGAAUUUCGAUGAUGGAUGAUCUCGCGGCCUAUCAGCUAGUUGGUGAGGUAACGGCUCACCAAGGCAACGACGGGUAGCCGGCCUGAGAGGGCGACCGGCCACACUGGGACUGAGACACGGCCCAGACUCCUACGGGAGGCAGCAGUAGGGAAUAUUGGGCAAUGGGCGCAAGCCUGACCCAGCGACGCCGCGUGAGGGAUGAAGGUCUUCGGAUUGUAAACCUCUUUCAGUAGGGAAGAAGCGAAAGUGACGGUACCUAAAGAAGAAGCACCGGCUAACUAUGCGCCAGCA
Molecule: ribosomal RNA, 468 nt
Filed under: uncultured bacterium
Lineage: Bacteria
Description: bacterial SSU rRNA
Rfam family: Bacterial small subunit ribosomal RNA
Source: RNAcentral